UUGGAGGGCAAGUCUGGUGCCAGCAGCCGCGGUAAUUCCAGCUCCAAUAGCGUAUAUUAAAGUUGUUGCAGUUAAAAAGCUCGUAGUUGAAUUUCGGGAUCAGGGAAUCGGUCAUGCCUUGGUAUGUACUGGUUUUAUUGGUUCUCACCUUCUAAAGAACCAUAAUGUCAUUCAUUUGAUGUUGUGGGGAAUUAGGACUGUUACCUUGAAAAAAUUAGAGUGUUUAAAGCAGGCUUACGCUUGAAUACAUUAGCAUGGAAUAAUGAAAUAGGACAUCCGAUUCUAUUUUGUUGGUUUCUAGGAUCGAUGUAAUGAUUAAUAGGGAUAGUUGGGGGCAUUAGUAUUCAAUUGUCAGAGGUGAAAUUCUUGGAUUUAUUGAAGACUAACUACUGCGAAAGCAUUUGUCAAGGAUGUUUUCAUUAAUCAAGAACGAAAGUUAGGGGAUCGAAGACGAUCAGAUACCGUCGUAGUCUUAACCAUAAACUAUGCCGACUAGGGAUCGGAUGAUGUUUAUUUUUUAGUGACUCAUUCGGCACCUUACGGGAAACCAAAGUGUUUGGGUUC
This 564-nucleotide ribosomal RNA is filed under the name uncultured Glomeromycotina. Its description in RNAcentral is "SSU rRNA". It matches the Rfam family "Eukaryotic small subunit ribosomal RNA", at positions 548 to 1114 of the family's 1831-position model. The record is from RNAcentral. Lineage: Eukaryota; Fungi; Glomeromycota.